This is a long non-coding RNA of Aethina tumida (small hive beetle), 1864 nucleotides long. RefSeq lists it as uncharacterized. The record is from RefSeq and is a predicted model, not a curated record. NCBI's taxonomy places the organism in Eukaryota, Metazoa, Arthropoda, Insecta, Coleoptera, Nitidulidae. The transcript is spliced from 2 exons.
CUCAGAUGUUAGAGACAUUAAUGCAGCAAAUGACUCAUUCAAGUGGACUUAAAUCAGUUCGUGACGAAUGCAAAUAGGAAGGAGGUAAAUCAAUGAUCGAAGAAAUAUAAACAAACACUUAUGGAAUAGUGUAAAACACCGCUAUAAACAAACAAAUCAAAUGAAAAAGUGAGAAAAAAUGAAUUGUUACCUUCCCAGAAGAGGCUGGAUCUUGAACAGGACUGUCAGACACUGUAUUUAUGUUAUUCCUGCUCCCAAUAAUAGUUCUUAUUUCGAUAUUUUCUGACAUAGUUACAGCAACAAACUAAUGUUACGUCUCGGCCACAGCAACCUCACUACUAACAACAAAACAUCCAGCUCGCCAAAUGCCAACUCGGAAAUAAAUUCCUUCAGGCGUUAAGCCCAAUAUUUAAUUCAAUCCAGACGGCUGAUCCCUUCAAAGAUAACGAUUGUUUUGGUGGUACUCAUUUGUAACGGACAUUAACAAUAUGUUGUUUUUAUUGAUUUACAAAUGCGUAAACAACUUUUGCGAAUAAAAACACAUUUCUGUAAAUAGCGCAAAUCCAAGGUCAUUGAAUUCACCGGGACAGGCGGCUAACUUCAUGUCGUUGCCCGAAUUCGAAAAUUUUUUUUUGCAGGGAUUUUUUAAAUGUCACGUUUGAAAUAUGUAUGAACAUUACUGAAACGUUGAAAUUUAGCUCAAUUUUUAAACAUAUUUUAAGUUUUAGCUGUGUGCUGAGUGUAUUACAGUUUUCUCUAUUUUCUUUAAUUGUUUUUUGGAUUUUCUUCUUAAUGGGGUACCUGAUUGUAUCGAAUAACUACCAGUUCCCAGCUUUUCGUAAGUUAAUUCUGAUAAUCUAACGUUGUAUUAUAUUAUUUAUUGUUGCUAUUGAAUUAAACAAUGUAAAAAUUUGAACAUGUUUCUACAUGUACUGUUAAAUAUAUUAAUUAAUAUAUGUUGCCAUUGGGCAUAAUUCAAUAAUGGAGAUUUAAUUUUUUCAUUCAUAAUUUAUUGUUUAUUAUGCACAGUAGUGGUCAGAAAAAUAGCACAAAACUGCAAAAUAUUUCAUAAAAGGAUUUAAUUCAAAAUAUGUUCAGUACGUAUAUAAAAUAUAUUUUGAAUAUUCUAUAGAUUUUUUUACUUUUGUGACGCAACAAUAUAUAUUCUUAGUAGGAUUUAUUCUUAGUAAAAUUUUUAUUCUUUUAUUGAAUAACUCACUUUUAGUGAGAAAAAAGAAUGCACUCAAGAGAAGAGGGAAAUAAUAAUUAACAUCUAAUAUCUUCAAAAACUUAGAUACUUAAUCAACAAAACUAGCAAGGAUGUAUUUCGGUAAAGAAAUUAUUGGUAUUAAAAAGAAUAUCUGAACAAGACUAAAGUUUGCACAAAAACAUUAUCUUCUAGAAUUUUAACAUAGAGUACUUUGAAAUGAUGAAUCCAACCUUAAUAGAAUAAGAUCAGAUGGUAAACAAUACGUUCGUCCUCCAAAUACAAGUUUGGAUCCUAUAUACACCACAAAAAUUUUGAAAUCUGGUGGAGGUCCUUCUGUACCUAUUGGUAAAAUGAACCGUUUCGUGUAGACAUUGGAGAGAUGUAAUCGAACUAUUUAUCAACGAUAAUUUAUCAAUUAAGUUGAUUUUUAUGCCUGAAUCUACGCUUUGUCGUUUACAGGCGGUUACAAAAGGUAUCCAACAAAAUAUUAAUAAUUUUAAUAUUAAUAAAUCGUAUAUAAAUUAUGAAAUAUAUAUUUAUGGAAUGUAUUCUAUUUCUGUGAGCAGCCACAUUGUUUAUUUAUUUGGUUCAAGUAGAAAUUAUAUUAAUAAAAAAUUGUAGAAAAAAUAUAUGUAUAUUAUUUUAAAUAAAUUA